GGCUCAGGAUGAACGCUAGCGACAGGCUUAACACAUGCAAGUCGAGGGGCAGCACAGGUAGCAAUACCGGGUGGCGACCGGCGCACGGGUGAGUAACGCGUAUGCAACUUACCUAUCAGAGGGGGAUAACCCGGCGAAAGUCGGACUAAUACCGCAUGAAGCAGGGGCCCCGCAUGGGGAUAUUUGCUAAAGAUUCAUCGCUGAUAGAUAGGCAUGCGUUCCAUUAGGCAGUUGGCGGGGUAACGGCCCACCAAACCGACGAUGGAUAGGGGUUCUGAGAGGAAGGUCCCCCACAUUGGUACUGAGACACGGACCAAACUCCUACGGGAGGCAGCAGUGAGGAAUAUUGGUCAAUGGCCGAGAGGCUGAACCAGCCAAGUUGCGUGAGGGAUGAAGGUUCUAUGGAUCGUAAACCUCUUUUAUAAGGGAAUAAAGUGCGGGACGUGUCCCGUUUUGUAUGUACCUUAUGAAUAAGGAUCGGCUAACUCCGUGCCAGCAGCCGCGGUAAUACGGAGGAUCCGAGCGUUAUCCGGAUUUAUUGGGUUUAAAGGGUGCGUAGGCGGCCUUUUAAGUCAGCGGUGAAAGUCUGUGGCUCAACCAUAGAAUUGCCGUUGAAACUGGGGGGCUUGAGUAUGUUUGAGGCAGGCGGAAUGCGUGGUGUAGCGGUGAAAUGCAUAGAUAUCACGCAGAACCCCGAUUGCGGAGGCAGCCUGCCAAGCCAUUACUGACGCUGAUGCACGAAAGCGUGGGGAUCAAACAGGAUUAGAUACCCUGGUAGUCCACGCAGUAAACGAUGAUCACUAGCUGUUUGCGAUACACUGUAAGCGGCACAGCGAAAGCGUUAAGUGAUCCACCUGGGGAGUACGCCGGCAACGGUGAAACUCAAAGGAAUUGACGGGGGCCCGCACAAGCGGAGGAACAUGUGGUUUAAUUCGAUGAUACGCGAGGAACCUUACCCGGGUUUGAACGCAUUCGGACCGAGGUGGAAACACCUUUUCUAGCAAUAGCCGUUUGCGAGGUGCUGCAUGGUUGUCGUCAGCUCGUGCCGUGAGGUGUCGGCUUAAGUGCCAUAACGAGCGCAACCCUUGUCACUAGUUACUAACAGGUAAAGCUGAGGACUCUGGUGGGACUGCCAGCGUAAGCUGCGAGGAAGGCGGGGAUGACGUCAAAUCAGCACGGCCCUUACAUCCGGGGCGACACACGUGUUACAAUGGCGUGGACAAAGGGAAGCCACCUGGCGGCAGGGAGCGAAUCCCCAAACCACGUCUCAGUUCGGAUCGGAGUCUGCAACCCGACUCCGUGAAGCUGGAUUCGCUAGUAAUCGCGCAUCAGCCAUGGCGCGGUGAAUACGUUCCCGGGCCUUGUACACACCGCCCGUCAAGCCAUGGGAGCCGGGGGUACCUGAAGUCCGUAACCGCGAGGAUCGGCCUAGGGUAAAACUGGUG
This 1445-nucleotide ribosomal RNA is filed under the name uncultured organism. RNAcentral describes it as "SSU rRNA". It matches the Rfam family "Bacterial small subunit ribosomal RNA". The record is from RNAcentral.